Molecule: ribosomal RNA, 1559 nt
Filed under: Salmonella enterica
Lineage: Bacteria; Pseudomonadati; Pseudomonadota; Gammaproteobacteria; Enterobacterales; Enterobacteriaceae
Also listed under: 1 other name
Description: partial 23S ribosomal RNA
Rfam family: Bacterial large subunit ribosomal RNA
Source: RNAcentral
GCCCUGGCAGUCAGAGGCGAUGAAGGGCGUGCUAAUCUGCGAUAAGCGCCGGUAAGGUGAUAUGAACCGUUAUAACCGGCGAUACCCGAAUGGGGAAACCCAGUGUGACUCGUCACACUAUCAUUAACUGAAUCCAUAGGUUAAUGAGGCGAACCGGGGGAACUGAAACAUCUAAGUACCCCGAGGAAAAGAAAUCAACCGAGAUUCCCCCAGUAGCGGCGAGCGAACGGGGAGGAGCCCAGAGCCUGAAUCAGCAUGUGUGUUAGUGGAAGCGUCUGGAAAGGCGCGCGAUACAGGGUGACAGCCCCGUACACAAAAGCGCAUGUGCUGUGAGCUCGAUGAGUAGGGCGGGACACGUGGUAUCCUGUCUGAAUAUGGGGGGACCAUCCUCCAAGGCUAAAUACUCCUGACUGACCGAUAGUGAACCAGUACCGUGAGGGAAAGGCGAAAAGAACCCCGGCGAGGGGAGUGAAAAAGAACCUGAAACCGUGUACGUACAAGCAGUGGGAGCCCCACCACCAAAGCAUUUGCUGUACCGCGUUGACGGAGCGAAGCGACGUCAAACCGAUAAAACAGCAGUGUAAAGUGAGCCGCAGGGCGCUUUGCGCGACAGCGCAAAGGCAGGCGGUUUCGCGUAGCGAAAGCGAAUGCUUUGGGGUGGGGUGACUGCGUACCUUUUGUAUAAUGGGUCAGCGACUUAUAUUCUGUAGCAAGGUUAACCGAAUAGGGGAGCCGGAGGGAAACCGAGUCUUAAUUGGGCGUUAAGUUGCAGGGUAUAGACCCGAAACCCGGUGAUCUAGCCAUGGGCAGGUUGAAGGUUGGGUAACACUAACUGGAGGACCGAACCGACUAAUGUUGAAAAAUUAGCGGAUGACCUGUGGCUGGGGGUGAAAGGCCAAUCAAACCGGGAGAUAGCUGGUUCUCCCCGAAAGCUAUUUAGGUAGCGCCUCGUGAAUUCAUCUCCGGGGGUAGAGCACUGUUUCGGCUAGGGGGCCAUCCCGGCUUACCAACCCGAUGCAAACUGCGAAUACCGGAGAAUGUUAUCACGGGAGACACACGGCGGGUGCUAACGUCCGUCGUGAAGAGGGAAACAACCCAGACCGCCAGCUAAGGUCCCAAAGUCAUGGUUAAGUGGGAAACGAUGUGGGAAGGCCCAGACAGCCAGGAUGUUGGCUUAGAAGCAGCCAUCAUUUAAAGAAAGCGUAAUAGCUCACUGGUCGAGUCGGCCUGCGCGGAAGAUGUAACGGGGCUAAACCAUGCACCGAAGCUGCGGCAGCGACACUGUGUGUUGUUGGGUAGGGGAGCGUUCUGUAAGCCUGUGAAGGUGUGUCGUGAGGCAUGCUGGAGGUAUCAGAAGUGCGAAUGCUGACAUAAGUAACGAUAAAGCGGGUGAAAAGCCCGCUCGCCGGAAGACCAAGGGUUCCUGUCCAACGUUAAUCGGGGCAGGGUGAGUCGACCCCUAAGGCGAGGCCGAAAGGCGUAGUCGAUGGGAAACGGGUUAAUAUUCCCGUACUUGGUGUUACUGCGAAGGGGGGACGGAGAAGGCUAUGUUGGCCGGG